This 35-nucleotide ribosomal RNA is filed under the name Monodictys sp. HSAUP074068. RNAcentral's name for it is "partial 18S ribosomal RNA". The record is from RNAcentral. Lineage: Eukaryota; Fungi; Ascomycota; Dothideomycetes; Pleosporales.
UCCGUAGGUGAACCUGCGGAGGGAUCAUUACACAA